CAAUAGCGUAUAUUUAAGUUGUUGCAGUUAAAAAGCUCGUAGUUGGAUUUCGGUUAAGAGCGACCGGUCCGCCGUUUGGUGUGCACUGGUUGGUUUUAACUUCCUGUAGAGGACGUGCUCUGGGUUUAACGACCUGGACUCGGAGUCUACGUGGUUACUUUGAAAAAAUUAGAGUGUUCAAAGCGGGCUUACGCUUGAAUAUUUCAGCAUGGAAUAACACUAUAGGACUCCUGUCCUAUUUCGUUGGUCUCGAGACGGGAGUAAUGAUUAAGAGGAACAGUUGGGGGCAUUCGUAUUUCAUUGUCAGAGGUGAAAUUCUUGGAUUUAUGAAAGACGAACUUCUGCGAAAGCAUUUGCCAAGGAUGUUUUCAUUAA
Molecule: ribosomal RNA, 375 nt
Filed under: uncultured eukaryote
Lineage: Eukaryota
Description: partial 18S ribosomal RNA
Rfam family: Eukaryotic small subunit ribosomal RNA
Source: RNAcentral